GACGAACGCUGGCGGCGUGCUUAACACAUGCAAGUCGAACGAUGAUGCCCAGCUUGCUGGGUGGAUUAGUGGCGAACGGGUGAGUAACACGUGAGUAACCUGCCCCUGACCCUGGGAUAAGCGUUGGAAACGACGUCUAAUACUGGAUAUGACUGCCGCCCGCAUGGUCUGGGGGUGGAAAGGUUUUUUGGUUGGGGAUGGACCCGCGGCCUAGCAGCUUGGUGGUGAGGUAAUGGCGCACCAAGGCGACGGCGGGUAGCCGGCCUGAGAGGGUGACCGGCCACACUGGGACUGAGACACGGCCCAGACUCCUACGGGAGGCAGCAGUGGGGAAUAUUGCACAAUGGGCGAAAGCCUGAUGCAGCAACGCCGCGUGAGGGAUGACGGCCUUCGGGUUGUAAACCUCUUUUAGUAGGGAAGAAGCGAAAGUGGCGGUACCUGCAGAAAAAGCACCGGCUAACUACGUGCCAGCAGCCGCCGUAA
This 483-nucleotide ribosomal RNA is filed under the name uncultured bacterium. Its description in RNAcentral is "partial 16S ribosomal RNA". It matches the Rfam family "Bacterial small subunit ribosomal RNA", at positions 28 to 523 of the family's 1533-position model. The record is from RNAcentral.